This 7203-nucleotide long non-coding RNA is filed under the name Cicer arietinum (chickpea). RNAcentral describes it as "long non-coding RNA (CARI_LNC003172)". Lineage: Eukaryota; Viridiplantae; Streptophyta; Magnoliopsida; Fabales; Fabaceae. The record is from RNAcentral.
UUUAAUUCCCUCGUUUCUUGAAACCUUGAAUCAUUGAUUUGUAUUUCUAUUAAGACUCUUCAACUUCAUCAAUGAACUUUCCUCCCUUUUUUACCACCCUACAAAAAGUUAUGAGUUGUUCAAUCUCAUUACACGAUUCCUUAAGAAGAUUAUAACAACCCGUAAUGUAAGUAAGAAUGAUUUGAACCACAACUUUAAUUGACUUUUUUUUUUUAUGGAAGAGAGCUAAUUAAUUUUUCUAUAAUAAAAAAAUUUCCUCUUUAAUCUCCCCACAAAAGUAGAGUAAAAUUAAGACUCCAACACCUUAAUAAAUUUACAUCCAUCCUGAGAUAAAAUAUUGCUAUAUUCAAUCCAUUUCAACUAAAAGAGAUUUGUAAUUAGUGAUGAUUAGCCAUAAUUAAAAAAAUGUACAAAAGUUUCUUAAAAUGUGUUCUAGUAAUUUGUGCUACUAUUCUCUUUACUUGUCCUACAAAAAUCAAUAAUAUAAUCAAAGACAAACAAAUAAGUGAGAAAUCCCAAGAGUAUUUUUUGCUAUCAUAAUAUUCCGAUCCGAGAUUUGAUUAUGAGAAAAGGGAAAAAAAAAACACUCCAACACAAAUAAUAAGGAUACUUUUUACAAAGAUAAAAAUAAUAAGGAUACUUCAUAGUCAAGUUUGAGUUUUCUAUCAAUGUGGACAUAAGGCGUAUUCAAACGAGACAAUAACUUAGGCCAAACAAAAAUAUUUAGUACUAGCGAUUAAGUUUCUUUCUAAAAAAAUCAAAUAAAGUCUAACAUAUUUUUUACUUCUUUUGUCCCUAAUUUAUAUUAAAGUUAUUUAAGACCAAUUCUAAACAUUCUAUUUACCACAUAUUACUUUAUUAGCGAUUAUCUUCUUUCAUUCAUUUAUAUAAUUUCAAUUUAAUAUUGUGGCUAUCAUUACGACAAAUCACAUAUAAAGAUUAAUUGAUCCAAUUAAGUUAUUCAUAAAUCUGAAUAAGUAACUUUGCUAUAAAUAACAAGUUGCUAUUGAUAACAAUUAAUAAUUAAACAAAGAAUAAUAUUAUUUUUUAUUUGUUAUAAAUUGAUUGCAAAUGUGUUAAACAAAAUCGAAUCGUAAAUGACUAAAUAUACACCUAAAAUCUAUACUAUAUAUAGUUAUUUUAUAUCGAGUUUAAACAUUAUACUUACCAUGUGUCACUCUAUUAACGAUUCUCCUCUAUCAUUUGUAUAAUUUAUUUGCCUAUAAAUACUCUGAUUUGAAUUCAAUAUAAUGGCUCAAAUUAUGAAGAAUCUUCUAUAUAGAUUAAUUAAUUUCAAUUAAAUUAUUUACAAAUCAAAGCUAGGUAACGUUGCAAUCAAUAACAAUCAAUAAUAAAAUUAAUUUUUAUUUACUAUGACUAUUUGCAGACCCAUUAAACACAAUUAUUUUGUGCCAACAAUCACGUUUACAAAUAAAAAUAUAUUUAAUUUAAAAAAAUAAAAAAAUGAUCGUAAGUGACUAACGUACAUCUAAAAUUUGAAUAUUAACUAAAUUGUAAACAAACGAUUAAUAAAUUUCUGAAGUUGACUCUGUAUAUAUUUCAAUUCAUUUCAAUUCAUUCCAAUUCAUAAAAUAAAAUUUUUAAUUACAUUUUUUUACAACAAAUUAUAAUUACAACUAUAAAUAUCCACAAAAACAUUAUAUAAAUAUAUAUCAAAAGUUUAGAAAGAUGCCAAAAUAUUAAUUUAAGAUAAAAAGAAUUUUUUAAAUGUAAUACUACAAAAUUAGAAACAUGUACAAAAAAAUGCAUCGAUUAAAUUUCUCAACUCUUAAGCUUUUGCACCCAGGGAAGUAAAGUGGUGAGCAAAAUUUUUAAACUUCAUAGAAUAUUGCAAUCACAAAUAACUUUUUUAUCGCAACGAAAGCAAAAAAAAAAAGAAUAUAUUAACUAAAAAAUGCAUAUUGAAUAGGAUAUAAAAUUAUCUAUAUAUAUAUAUAUAUAUAUAUAUAUAUAUAUAUAUGAUGUUCUUGGCAAUAACUCAAAGGAAGAAAAUUUCAUUACGAAUCUUACAAUUACCAUCUCCCCAUCUUAUCUUUUUGUUCCUUGGUUUUUUUUACUUUCAUGUGUUCUUUUUAUCAGAAAAAAUUAUUAAUGGGAGUGUAGGAUACCCAAAUCUACAUACAUGUAUAAUAUAUUAACUACUUUGGAGACAAACCAGAUGAUUUGAACACUAAGAAACAAUACAGAAAAUAGAAUUACACUUCUUUCUAGCCAAAAACCAAAACCAAGACAAUGUUUUGACAUUAUCAAUCAUAACAACUACAUCAUCAAUGAUGUCCUUUAUUAGAUAAUGUUAUUAUAUAUUAAUAGUAAGGAUUUUUAAACAUUUCUAAUUUCUUGUAUAUAUAUUCAUUGUAACUUUAUUAACUCAAGUUUGAUUCAUUUUAUGUUAUAAAACCUUAGAGGGGUUGUCUUUUUUCUUCCUUUCUUCUUCUUCUUUUUUUUUUUUCAUGUUUGUCAUUGUUAACAUGGUGUGAGAGCUUUGGUUGAUUUUGGAAUCUACUGUAAAGUGGUCCACAACUUAGUAGGGUUUGGGGCCCCUCCCGAUUUGCUCCCUCUAUUUCUGUCCCAAUUCUAUCGCUCUGCUUCUAGCGCAAUUCUGCUCUUUUGUUUUCGGCGUGGUUCUACUCUUUUGUUUUCGACGUGGUUCUGCUCUUCUGUUUGCGACAUGAUUUUAUUUGGUUCCAAAACGACUUUGCUAUUGACAGGUUAUAUAUCCCUACUUUCUGUUGUUUCGGUGAUUGUGUUUGUUUUAUUUUCCUGUGAUUAUUUGUUAAGGUUGGUGUUAAGGAUGACUCUCGUCAAGCUGUUAGUGUCCACCUUAAUGAACAAAAUUACUCUUAUUGAAAUUAUGUGAUGAAAAUUUUUUUGAUUGAAAAAGAUAUGUGGGGUUAUGUUGAUGGAACUUAUGUGAAACCUACAAAUAAAAAGAAUGAAACUAAAUAUGCAAAAGCUUUGAAAACAUGGAAUGUUAGUAAUUAAAAAAUUAUUACUUGAAUUAAUAAUUUUGUUGAACUGUUUAUAUGCAUACAACUAGCAAAAUAUGAUAUUGCUAAAGAGAUUUGGGAUCACUUGAAAAGUUUGUAUGUUCAUACUAACUUUUCAAAAUGAUAUCAGUUGGAAAGUGAUAUUAGGGCCCUUAAGCAUAACAAUAUGACUAUUCAUGAAUUCUAUUCUGCAAUGACUAAUUUAUGGGAUCAAUUGACUCUUACGGAAUCAUCUGAGUUGAAAGCGGUUAAAGCGUACAUUGAUCAGAGAGAUAAGCAACGUCUAGUUUGAUUUCUGAUGAUUUUGAGGGGCUUCGUAGGGGUAUUUUUCAUCGUUCCCCUCUUUCUAAUGUUGAAUAAUUAGUUAGUGAGUUGUUGACAAAAGAGAUCAAACUUAAGACCCACUCCGUUGUGUCAAAAAAUGAAUUCUCUCAACUCCUUCGUCUAUUUUUGUUGCUCAUGUUCAAAAAGAAAAAUCUCAAGGGAGAGUUAGGCUUGGUAAUGGUGAAUAUGCUUUUUGCAAAGAAAAAUGUCAUUGGAAAGCACAUUGUCCUAAAUUGGGGAGAUCCCAUAAGAAGAAUUUGAGGGGGCCAUCGUCCAACGUUGUUGCUUAUGCUCUUCUUACCAUUGGCUCUAGUUCUGGUUAUGUAUACUCAUUUGAGUCUGCUUCCCAAAUAUAUGAUAUUGCAGAGCAACUCCAAAAACUUCUUGCCACUCAAUCACAUGUCAUGUCUGCCUCCUCUACUAGAUGUUUGAACUCCUCUAGUAUAUUAGGUAUAUCUCGUUCCAUAUGAAUUUUUGAUUCUAGAGCAUCUCAUCAUAUGACAUAUGAUGAUAAAUAUUUUGUGUAUGUGAAUCAUGCCUCAUCUGUGUCGGUUAUGACUGUUGAUGGCAUUCAUAUGCCAUUAGCAGGCAUUGGGUAUGUCUCCACACCUAACUUGUCUCUUUCUGAUGCUUAUUAGAUUCCUAAUCUUACUUUGAGUCUUGCUUUUGCUAGUCAACUAUGUGAUUUCAAUUAUUCAUUUAUAUUUUCUUCCACUUCUUGUUGUGUGCAGGAUCCACAUUCUAGGAGGUUGAUUGGGGCAAGUCAUCGACAAGGGGCUUUAUGUUUUGGAUGACUUGCGAGUCCCAAUUACUACAGCCUCAACAACCACUACUAGCUUAUUAUAUACUUUUCGCUUGAAUUCUCCAUAUUCUAUUUUUAUUUAUGGCAUUCUCGGCUUGGACAUGUUUCUACUUCAAGAUUAAAAUAUUUGGCUUCUACUAGAGCUUUGUGGUUGUAAAUUUGCUAAACUUUCAGCUUUAUCGUUUAGUAAAAGUAUUUUUGUUUCAUAUAUGCACAUUUUAAUUUAAUUCACUAUGAUGUUUGGGGGUCCAUGACUCGUUCUCACCAAAGGUGGAUCUAGAUAUUAUGUUUCAUUUAUUGUUGGUUUUAUCUUAUAACACAUCGAUAUGAAUUUUUUUGACAUCUAUCAUAUGUUUCGUGCUACGGUUAAAACUCAACAUAAUGAUGUUAUAAAGUGUUUUCGUUGUGGUGAACAUAAUGAGUUUUGGGGAGAACUAACCCAUAUUGAUAUGUUUGGUCCUAACAACAAUGCUUCUAGUGAUUGUAAUAUUGAGAACUGUAGGACAAAUACUACUACUCCGCUUAAUGACAUCCAUCUUGUCCCCUCGGGUGUCCAACCACCUCAUGCGAUUAUUGAUCCUUCUCGUUACCCCUCUCGUAACCGUAAGUUUACUCAAUUACAUGAUUUUGUCUAUUCCACUUACUCAACUUUGUCUGCUUCUUUCUUAACCUCUAUUUACAGUUUGUCUGAGCCUUCUUCUUGUAAAGAGGUUACUCUUGAUCCUCUUUGGUAGUAGGCUAUGACAGAAGAGCUCUCUGCAUUGCACAAAACAGAUACUUAGGAAUUAGUACCUCUUCUUUCUGGAAAACGUGUUAUUAGGUCUCGUUGGAUAUAGAAGAUCAAAACUAAGUUUGAUGGGCCCGUUGGGGGAUUCUAUCAACAAUAUAGUAUGGAUUAUGUGGAAACUUUUGCUCCUGUAGCCAAAAUGACCACUAUUCGUACUCUUAUUGCAGUUGCAUCUAUUCGUUAAUGACAUAUUUCCCAAAUGGAUGUCAAAAAUGCUUUUUUAAAUAGUGAGCUUCAUGAAGAAGAUUAUAUGGUCCCUCCACAAGGUGUUUCUCAUAAUCAAGAGAAAAUGUGUAAGUUAAAAAAAAUGCUCUUUAUGGUCUUAAACAGGCUCAUCGAGCCUGGUUUGAGAAAUUAUCUACUAUGAUCACUUCUCUUGGUUUUCGCUCUAUUGAUAUGAUUCUGCAUUGUUUAUAAGUUCCACCACUUGUGGUCGUAUUAUCCUUUUUUUGUAUGUUGAUGAUAUGAUUAUUACAAGUGAUGAUGUAUGUGGAAUCAAUGAGUUGAAAUUGUAAUUAGCCAAGAAGUUUGAGAUGAAGGACUUGGGAACUCUUCACUAUUUCUUGGUGAUUGAAAUUGCAUACUUUCCUAGAGGCUACCUUCUUUCUCAAUUCAAGUACAUUACCAACAUUCUUGAUUAGACUCGUCUUUCUAAUACUAGAGCAGUAAAUAUUGCUCUUGACUUGAAUGUGAAGUGUGCUCCAUCGGAUGGUAUUCCUUUACAAAAUCCCAUUUUGUAUUGUACUUUGGUUGGCAGCUUGGUGUAUCUUGCAAUUGCCAGACUUGAUAUUGCUUAUGUUAUUCAUGUUGUUAGUGAGUUUAUUAUCUCUCCCACUGUAAUACAUUUGACAUCGAUUCUUUGUAUUCUUCGUUAUCUUCGAGGAACUUAAUUUCAAAGCCUUCUCUUUCCAUCGUCAUCCUCAUUGGAGUUACGUGCUUAUUCUAAUGUUGAUUGGGCUCGUGACAUUAUAUAUCGUAAAUCCACCACCUGAUUUUGUAUCUUUCUUGGAGACUUUUUUAUUUCAUGAAAGAGUAAGAAACAUGACAUUGUUUGUCGCUUUUCUACAGAAGCUGAGUAUCAUGUUAUGACAUCCACUACUGCUGAAAUAAUUUGGUUGUGUUGACUUUUGUCUGAUUUGGGUGUCUCUCUCUUUGAGCCAACUCUAAUGCACUGCAAUAACAAGAGUGCUAUUCAAAUUACUCAUAACUCGGUCUUUCAUGAACAUACCAAACAAAUUGAGAUUGAUUGUCAUCUUACUCGUCAUCAUCUUCAGCAUUGAACCAUUACUCUACCGUUUGUCUUUUCUUCCUUACAGAUUGUUGGUUUGUUCACAAAGAUGCAUUCAAUUAAAUAUUUUUAUUUUUUAGUUGACAAACUAUUGAUGCUAUGUGUUAAUGCAUAAUGAGUUUGUUAUAUUAUGUUAUUAUAUACUAGUAGUAAGGGUAUUUUAGACAUUUAAGUUCUCUUGUAUAGGUACUCUGCUCUUCGCUCUUUCCUCUACUCCACUCCAGAGCAAUGCCAUGACUCCACUCCAGAGCAAUGCCAUGACUCGGUCGAGAGCCUUCCAUGUGGAUUCCUUCAAAGAGAAAUAUAGUGUGUAUUCUCGGCAUCAAUGCAAUUUCCCGGUCUGGGAACAAGAACAAUUCUUGGUCCUACCAAACCAUGCCAUGAACAGUACAACAAGAGAAGGGGAUAUUGAAACUAAGACUCAUUACGUCUAUUGCUCUACCUUCCUCCAACAGAAAAAAUGGCAUCAUUUAUUCCUAUUCCGACAAAACUAGUUGCUGAUCCAACCUCCCCUCGGGUCUAUGCCCUCGAUGUUUUAACAUCGGCGAUUGAAAGAGAGUAGGAGCGCAUUCUCUCCAUCUCAGUUGGAAAGUCUAUCGCUCUAAGCAACAAUUCCUUGGUCUCACCCUCUAAUGAUAAAUCAAGAGUUCCGGCCAGGCUAUGAUUCCAUCAACAAACCCAAUUCGAUAUAAAAGCUUAGCUUCUAUUACAAAAAUUUAUUUUGAAAAGAGCUAUCCUAGAGAUUGACAGGUCUCCCCAACUAUGUUUUUCACUCGAAAACCGAAAGCAUAAAGAUGAGCCUUGGGCCCCCUUUCCUAAGAACAGAAGGAGCGUUUAGAUAAUGUACCUUUAGGUGCAUGCAGGAGCAAGGACGAAAGGAGAACAAGUCACAUGAGAAGCGUUGAAGAAGUAGUAGUUUAAGCCAUUGAUCCUGCAGCUUCAAAAAGUAAGCACCAACAGACAGAGGUAGAUACAGAGCCAUAGGAAAACCUUU